Medicago truncatula (barrel medic) is the source of this 171-nucleotide microRNA precursor. It matches the Rfam family "MIR2619 microRNA precursor family". The record is from Rfam. NCBI's taxonomy places the organism in Eukaryota, Viridiplantae, Streptophyta, Magnoliopsida, Fabales, Fabaceae.
AAACAGCCCUCUAUGUUUUGAUUCUUUGGCGGUUUUGGCCCCCAAGGCAAAAUAAAAAAUAAAAAAUUUGACACGUGGCACCUCACUUAGGGUGCCACGUCAGCGUUGACCGAGUCAACAAUGAAUUAGGGGUUCAAAACUGCCAAAGAAUCAAAACAUAGGGGGUUGAUU